This 1500-nucleotide ribosomal RNA is filed under the name uncultured Bordetella sp. Its description in RNAcentral is "partial 16S-23S ribosomal RNA intergenic spacer". It matches the Rfam family "Bacterial small subunit ribosomal RNA". Lineage: Bacteria; Pseudomonadati; Pseudomonadota; Betaproteobacteria; Burkholderiales; Alcaligenaceae. The record is from RNAcentral.
ACAUCGGAUCGAUGGCUGAGUUUGAUUAUGGCUCAGAUUGAACGCUGGCGGGAUACUUUACAUGCAAAGUCGAACGGCACGGACUUCGGUCUGGUGGCAGUAGCGAGCGGUGAGUAAUGUAUCGGAACGUGCCUAGUAGCGGGGGAUAACUACGCGAAAGCGCAGCUAAUACCGCAUACGCCCUUCGGGGGAAAGCGGGGGACCUUCGGGCCUCGCACUAUUAGAGCAGCCGAUAUCAGCAGUUUAGCUAGUUGGUGGGGUAACGGCUCACCGGGGCGACGAUCCGUAGCUGGUUUGGGGAGACGACCAGCCACACUGGGGACUGGGAACCACGGCCCAGACUCCUACGAGGGGGCAGCGGUGGGGGUACACGGACAAUGCGGGGAAACCUGAUCCAGCCAUCCCGCGCGUGUGCGAUGAGCCUUCGGGUUGUAAAGCACUUUUUGGCAGAAGAAACGGCACGGGAUAGCCCCGUGCAACUGACGGUAGUUACCUGCAGAAUAAGCACCGGCUAACUACGUGCCAGCAGCCUAGCGGUAAUACGUAGGGUGCAAGCGUUAAUCGGAAUUACUGGGCGUAAAGCGUGCGCAGGCGGUUCGGAAAGAAAAGAUGUGAAAUCCCAGAGCUUAACUUUGGAACUGCAUUUUUAACUACCGAGCGUAAAUUGUGUCAGAGGGGGUGGAAUUCCGCGUGUAGCAGUGGAAUGCGUAGAUAUGCGGGAGGAACACCGAUGGCGAAGGCAGCCUCCUGGGAUAACACUGACGCUCAUGCACGGCGUGGGAGCAAGCAGGAUUGAAAUACCUGGUAGUCCACGCCCUAAACGAUGUCAACUAGCUGUUGGGGCCUUCGGGCCUUGGUAGCGCAGCUAACGCGUGAAGUUGUUUCACCUGGGAGAGUACGGUCGCAAGAUUAAAACUCAAAGGUAAUAUGGGACCCGCACAAGCGGUGGAUGAUGUGGAUUAAUUCGAUGCAACGCGAAAAACCUUACCUACGCCGACAUGUCUGAUCGAAGAGAUUUGGGAGUGCUCGCAAGAGAACCGGAACACAGGUGCUGCAUGGCUGUCGUCAGCUCGUGUCGUGAGAUGUUGGGUUAAGUCCCGCAACGAGCGCAACCCUUGUCAUUAGAUUUGCUACGAAAGGGCACUCUAAUGAGGCUGCCGGUGACAAACCGGAGGAAGGUGUGGAUGACGUCAGGGCUCAUGUGCCCUUAUGGGUAGGGCUUCCCCACGUCAUACAAUGGUCGGGACAGAGGGUCGCCAACCCGCGAGGGGGAGCCAAUCCCAGAAGGCGAUCGUAGUCCGGAUGCAGUCUACCCAACUCGGCGCGUGAAGUCGGAAUCGCUAGUAAUCACCGGAUCAGCAUGUCGCGGUGAAUACGAUUCCCGGGUCUUGUACACACCACCCGUCACACCAUAGGAAUUAGGUUUUACCUGAUAGUUAGCCUAACCGUAAGGAGGGCGAUUACCACGGUAAGUUCAUGACUGGGGUGAAGUCGUGAGUA